RNAcentral lists this ribosomal RNA (254 nucleotides) under uncultured bacterium. RNAcentral's name for it is "partial 16S ribosomal RNA". It matches the Rfam family "Bacterial small subunit ribosomal RNA", at positions 524 to 776 of the family's 1533-position model. The record is from RNAcentral.
UACGGGGGGAGCAAGCGUUGUUCGGAUUUACUGGGCGUAAAGGGCGCGUAGGCGGCCAGUGCAAGUCAGUUGUGAAAUCUCCGAGCUUAACUCGGAAAGGUCAACUGAUACUGCUCGGCUAGAGUGCGGAAGGGGCAACUGGAAUUCUCGGUGUAGCGGUGAAAUGCGUAGAUAUCGAGAGGAACACCUGCGGCGAAGGCGGGUUGCUGGGCCGACACUGACGCUGAUGCGCGAAAGCCAGGGGAGCGAACGGG